Molecule: ribosomal RNA, 468 nt
Filed under: uncultured bacterium
Lineage: Bacteria
Description: partial 16S ribosomal RNA
Rfam family: Bacterial small subunit ribosomal RNA
Source: RNAcentral
GACGAACGCUGGCGGCGUGCUUAACACAUGCAAGUCGAACGGAAAGGCCCUGCUUUUGUGGGGUGCUCGAGUGGCGAACGGGUGAGUAACACGUGAGUAACCUGCCCUUGACUUUGGGAUAACUUCAGGAAACUGGGGCUAAUACCGGAUAGGAGCUCCUGCUGCAUGGUGGGGGUUGGAAAGUUUCGGCGGUUGGGGAUGGACUCGCGGCUUAUCAGCUUGUUGGUGGGGUAGUGGCUUACCAAGGCUUUGACGGGUAGCCGGCCUGAGAGGGUGACCGGGCACGUUGGGACUGAGAGACGGCACAGACUCCUACGGGGGGCAGCAGUGGGGAAUAUUGCACAAUGGGCGGAAGCCUGAUGCAGCAACGCCGCGUGCGAGAUGACGGCCUUCGGGGUGUAAACCGCUUUCGCCUGUGACGAAGAGUGAGUGACGGUAAUGGGUAAAGAAGCACCGGCUAACUACGUG